UAGGGAAUCUUCCACAAUGGACGAAAGUCUGAUGGAGCAACGCCGCGUGAGUGAAGAAGGGUUUCGGCCCGUAAAACUCUGUUGUUAAAGAAGAACAUAUCUGAGAGUAACUGUUCAGGUAUUGACGGUAUUUAACCAGAAAGCCACGGCUAACUACGUGCCAG
Molecule: ribosomal RNA, 164 nt
Filed under: uncultured bacterium
Lineage: Bacteria
Description: partial 16S ribosomal RNA
Rfam family: Bacterial small subunit ribosomal RNA
Source: RNAcentral